AUACGGUAGGGGGCAAGCGUUAUCCGGAAUUACUGGGUGUAAAGGGAGAGUAGGCGGCAUGAUAAGUUAGAUGUGAAAGCCUUGGGCUUAACCCGAGGAUUGCAUUUAAAACUAUCAAGCUAGAGUACAGGAGAGGUAAGUGGAAUUCCUAGUGUAGCGGUGAAAUGCGUAGAUAUUAGGAAGAACACCAGUGGCGAAGGCGACUUACUGGACUAGAAACUGACGCUGAGGCUACGAAAGCGGUGGGGAGC
Molecule: ribosomal RNA, 251 nt
Filed under: uncultured bacterium
Lineage: Bacteria
Description: partial 16S ribosomal RNA
Rfam family: Bacterial small subunit ribosomal RNA
Source: RNAcentral